Long non-coding RNA from Pseudophryne corroboree (corroboree frog), 1178 nucleotides. RefSeq lists it as uncharacterized. The record is from RefSeq and is a predicted model, not a curated record. NCBI's taxonomy places the organism in Eukaryota, Metazoa, Chordata, Amphibia, Anura, Myobatrachidae. The transcript has 3 exons.
CCGGUCUGUUGCCAUGACGCCACUGCCGGCAACCAGAGAUGGCGUCAUUUUUGGGGAGAGCGGGAUGCGACAGGCGGUUGGUACCAUAGAUGGAUGAAAGCCAUAGAGGAGCUAUAAAAAGGGCUCCAAGCAUUUCAGCUGCAAUCUCUGAUGAAGCCUUAUUGAGGCGAAACGCGUUGAGAGACUGACCAGACGACCAAUCUUUCCUCACACCCACCAACAACCUUUUAGAAAAAAGUGGAGAAGCAUCCAUAUAUUAAAUGGGCAUUCCUGCAAGAAUACCUGGAUGAGUGAUCAAUAGUGAUAUGCACUUUAUAUUUCUAUAUCUGGUAUGCGUGCUACUUGUACAAUAAUUGUGAAUAUCCUUACUGGUGAUUUGACUACUACGCUAUGUAGCGAAUGUCUAUAUCUCUUACUAUACCUAGAUCCUGAGAUUGCAGAAUCCAGGAGAAAGAGAGACUGAUAUACUAUAUGCCAAGCCGUAACACGGAGGAAACCGGAGUACCCGGAGGAAACCCACGCAAGUACGGGGAGGAUAUACAAACUCCACACAGUUAGGGCCAUGGUGGGAACUGUUUUUGUCCUGGGGGAUUGUAAGUCAGUGCUGAUGCAUGAGAUCCAGGUGGCAAUUGCCUCUCAGAUCCUCACAUUGCUGCAUAUUUGCAUUAGGAAUUACUCCCUAUGUAUGCAGCUAUUGUUUGUUAAAUUCUCUGGUUUCAGAUCCGGUUCUGGAUGGUUCCCUGAAUGAAAGCAAAUAAACCUCCUACAAUCUUUAUGACACAAAUGUAUGUAAUAGAGUCUAUUUUUUAUUUUUUAUAAAUGUUACAAAUUAGCUUCACUCUUAAAUAUUAUCAUACAGUACAGUACGUGGGGUUUUAUUGUACUAACCAAUCCCAAAUUAGAUAGACAGGCUCAAAAUAAAAAGUAAAAAUGAGUAUCAAAUAUACAGUAUGGGGCUGGUGUAUAUUAAGUCCCAAUACUAAUGAUGCAGACAGUAAGUCCCAAUGGGUGGUCUUCAGUAUGCCGACUGUCGGGAUCCCUGCGCACAGUAUACCGACGCUGGAAUACUGACAGCCGGCAUACGGACACUUUUUCUCCCUCGUGGGGGUCCACGACCCCCCUGGAGGGAGAAUAAAAUAGCGUGGCGAGCGCAGCGUGACGAGCGCAGCGAGCCCGCA